RNAcentral lists this long non-coding RNA (219 nucleotides) under Homo sapiens (human). RNAcentral describes it as "non-protein coding lnc-GPR82-4:1". Lineage: Eukaryota; Metazoa; Chordata; Mammalia; Primates; Hominidae. The record is from RNAcentral.
GUGGUGGGGAAAUGCCUCACCUAUGAGGAGGGAAAAGGGUGCUCCCAGAACAAUCUUCUGGAUGGGAGUGUUCUUGGCAUGAAUGCAAAUAAUAAAGAGGUCAGAGAGGCUGGAGAAAAGUGAAUGAGUGGGAGAGUGGAAGGAGAUGAGAUCAGAGAAGUAGUGUGUAUGUGUUUGUGUCCCUGUUAGGACAUUAUUUUCUGAGGAUGAAGUUGUGAG